This 377-nucleotide small RNA is filed under the name Arabidopsis thaliana (thale cress). Its description in RNAcentral is "ATSL099310". Lineage: Eukaryota; Viridiplantae; Streptophyta; Magnoliopsida; Brassicales; Brassicaceae. The record is from RNAcentral.
AUAUUUUGUUAAGAGUGAGAUUAAUGGAUGAUUUAAUGCAAGUAAAACUUUUAAAUUUUUAUCACUAAGUUUUGUUAUAUUUUAAUGAUAUUAAUUUAGAAUGACAUGUGACACUCACUGGUGUGAUGAUAUGUCACUCAAUGAAAGUAGUGUUUGAUACAUUAACAUGAUUUUUUGUAUUUUUUCUUUUAAAUGAAGAUAUUUUGUUAAGAGUGAGACUAAUGGAUGAUUUAAUGCAAGUGAAACUUUUAAAUUUUUAUCAGUAAGUUUUGUUAUAUUUUAAUGAUAUUAAUUUAGAAUGACAUGUGACACUCACUGGUGUGAUGAUAUGUCACUCAUAUGGAGAGAGUUGACCAACUUUCAUAUAUAUGAUUUUU